Molecule: long non-coding RNA, 374 nt
Filed under: Dromaius novaehollandiae (emu)
Lineage: Eukaryota; Metazoa; Chordata; Aves; Casuariiformes; Dromaiidae
Description: lncRNA (ENSDNVG00000011005.1)
Source: RNAcentral
AAUUUAUUUUUGUGGGAGAUGGAAGAGUGAGGGUAAUGGUUUGCAGGAGCUUUAUGGGGACAAGAGUAUGCAACCCGUGCUGAAGUCUAGGCAGCACUCCUUGAGAGUGCCAUCAGAUGCUCAGACGCACCCCACAAUGGUCAGCUGGGAAAGAAUUCCAUAAUUCUUGAUCAACACUCAAACAAUUUAAGAAGAUUUUGGAAAAUCUGACUAGUUUUUAAUCUACACUCUGAUUUCUUAUGCUGUUCCCUGCUUAUCAAAGACAGAUACUGUGCAGGUCAAGGCACUCCAAGGAGACAGAGCUUGAAAAAUUCUUUGCAGCAGAUGCCUCAACAAGACCACGCCAUCAGUACAGACGUUGCAUAAGUUUCUGA